AUCAUACUCCCUCCGUCCGGAAAUACUUGUCGAAAAAAUAAAUGUACCUAGACGUAUUUUAGUUAUAGAUAUAUUAAAUUUUAUCCAUCUCUCCGACAAGUAUUUCGGGACGGAGGGAGUACUUA
Molecule: non-coding RNA, 125 nt
Organism: Triticum aestivum (bread wheat)
Lineage: Eukaryota; Viridiplantae; Streptophyta; Magnoliopsida; Poales; Poaceae
Source: Rfam